UACGAUUCACUUUCAAGAUGCCUUGGUGGUGAAAUGGUAGACACGCGAGACUCAAAAUCUCGUGCUAAAGAGCGUGGAGGUUCGAGUCCUCUUCAAGGCAUAAUAUUGAGAUCUCUUAUUGAAUUGGAAUAAGUUCGGCAGCGGAUCACG
This is a non-coding RNA of Lupinus albus (white lupine), 150 nucleotides long. NCBI's taxonomy places the organism in Eukaryota, Viridiplantae, Streptophyta, Magnoliopsida, Fabales, Fabaceae. The record is from the annotation of a GenBank genome assembly.